UCCCUUGUGGCUUAGUUGGUAAAGAAUCUGCCUGCAAUGCAGGAGACCUGGGUUCAAUCCCUGGGUUGGGAA
RNAcentral lists this transfer RNA (72 nucleotides) under Bos taurus (domestic cattle). It matches the Rfam family "tRNA". From Rfam's summary of the family: Transfer RNA (tRNA) molecules are approximately 80 nucleotides in length. Their secondary structure includes four short double-helical elements and three loops (D, anti-codon, and T loops). Lineage: Eukaryota; Metazoa; Chordata; Mammalia; Artiodactyla; Bovidae. The record is from Rfam by way of RNAcentral. RNAcentral also lists the same sequence under 4 other names.